CCUACGGGAGGCAGCAGUAGGGAAUCUUCCACAAUGGGCGAAAGCCUGAUGGAGCAACGCCGCGUGGGUGAAGAAGGUCUUCGGAUCGUAAAACCCUGUUGUUAGAGAAGAAAGUGCGUGAGAGUAACUGUUCACGUUUCGACGGUAUCUAACCAGAAAGCCACGGCUAACUACGUGCCAGCAGCCGCGGUAAUACGUAGGUGGCAAGCGUUAUCCGGAUUUAUUGGGCGUAAAGGGAACGCAGGCGGUCUUUUAAGUCUGAUGGGAAAGCCUUCGGCUUAACCGGAGUAGUGCAUUGGAAACUGGGAGACUUGAGUGCAGAAGAGGAUAGUGGAACUCCAUGUGUAGCGGUGAAAUGCGUAGAUAUAUGGAAGAACACCAGUGGCGAACGCGGCUCUCUGGUCUGUAACUGACGCUGAGGUUCGAAAGCGUGGGUAGCAAACAGGAUUAGAUACCCCAGUAGUC
Molecule: ribosomal RNA, 465 nt
Filed under: uncultured bacterium
Lineage: Bacteria
Description: partial 16S ribosomal RNA
Rfam family: Bacterial small subunit ribosomal RNA
Source: RNAcentral